RNAcentral lists this long non-coding RNA (1780 nucleotides) under Homo sapiens (human). RNAcentral describes it as "HSALNT0331888". Lineage: Eukaryota; Metazoa; Chordata; Mammalia; Primates; Hominidae. The record is from RNAcentral.
UCAGCAGGAUGUGGGUGGGGCCAGAUAAGAGAAUAAAAGCAGGCUGCCCGAGCCAGCAUUGACAACUCGCGGGGAUUGUUUUCCACACCGUGGAAGCUUUGUUCUUUUCGUUUUUUGCAAUAAAUCUUGUUGCUGCUCGCUUUUUGGGUCCACAUUGCUUUUAUGAGCUGUACCACUCACCGUGAAGAUCUGCAGCUUCACUUCAGAGCCUAGCGAGACCACAAGCUCACUGAGAGGAACAAACAACUCCAGACGCGCUGUCUUAAGAGCUAUAACACUCACCGCGAAGGUGUGCAGUUUCACUCCUGAGCUAGUGAGACUACGAAGCCACUGGAACGAAGAAACUCCAACCACGUUUGAACAUCAGAAGGGGCAGACUCCAGACGCUUCAUCUUAAGAGCUGUAACACUCACUGUGAAGGUCUGCAGCUUCACUCCUGAGCCAGCGAGACCACGAACCGAUCUGAACAUCAGAAGGGACAGACUCCAGAUGCCCCACCUUAAGAGCUGUAAUACUCACUGCAAGGGUCUGCAGCUUCAUUCUUGAAGUCAGACCAAGAACCCAGCAAUUCCCAACACACAGGGACCAGCUUCUUUCCUAACUCACUUAGGCUCUUCGUGCUGCUCUGGCAACUAACACCCUUGGCUGCAGGGGCUUGGACACUACCCUUAGUCACUGACAAUUGUGUGAAGGCUGCUGUCGUUAACUUCACUUGAUCACCUUAGGCUCCUGUGAAGUGGUGAGCAAUUCAAACAAAUUCCUGUCGUCAAAUCAUAUGGAGAAAUUGCACUGCAGAGAAAUCUUUAAAAGCAAUUACCUAAUACUGCAGAUUGCUGAACUGUACCCACACCCAAGACUGAGCAUUGGAUCAAUCCAGAAUAUACAUCAGGUGUUCUGCAAUGUCUGCCUAAAACCAUGACUCUGCCUCCUCCAGCUGUUGCUACAUCUCACUAUGGGUUUCCUGUGACAUUUUGAGCAAGUAUGCCUCUGUGACUGGGGUUCUUACACUCCAGAAUGGAUGAGAAGCACCGUAAGUGGCUUUUAAAAUGAAUAUUCCCUGGCCCUUCAGUCGCUCUAUAGGUCAAGAAUCUGAAUUCUCAACCUGUCUAGAAGGUUCUGGUUUUAAUGGUCUGUGGGCUGCACAUUGAGAAACCUGUUCAGCGAGUGCAACAAAGGUUCCACAUGUGAGAAAGGAAGCAUCAGGUCUCUUGAGCCUGUUCUUUAAUCUGUAGGCUGCACCUUCUCUUUAAAUUCUGCUAAUAACACCAUGCGAGAAAACACCCGAGCUUGAAAAGCCCAUGUUCCAACAUAACUGUCCUUCACCACUCUGGAAAAUUAAUGGUUUGUUUCGAUUAUCCCUUUGUUAAACUCCAAAGUCAAAGAGCUCUGAAAGGCAUACGGUUAUUUUAAGUUUCAGGUGAUUUCUGUUGCCAAAUAUUUUAAAAAUUUAAAAUUGCUACGUGACCUCUUAGUAGUACUAUUAGAUUUCCUGACAAUAAAAAUAAGUCUUUUGGUUUCACCAUUUAUAGUUAGUACAGCUAAUAUUAAGUAUAAUUUUAAAAGCCUUUUAUUUUCUCAGAAAGAAAAAAUAAUCAAAAUCUGCUCAGUGUGGUAUUGAAUAAUUAAAAACAAAAGAACAGUAUCUUCACAUUAGUGUUUAAUAUUAAUUGCUUUUUUACCCUUGACACUGGUGCUAAUUAAAUUUUCAUUUUAUUUUCCAUGACUUGUUUAAACAGUUUUUGCAAAUUAUUGCUAAUCAGCCUAAUAAAACUGAAUCACC